GGAUAGGACUAAGACAUGUUAGUCGCGCGUCUCUCAGCCAUGAAAGAGACGCGGCGUACGGCUCAGUAGCAUGUGGCUAACCUAACCUAAGGACAGAGACACCCCGGGAAACUGGGGGUAAUCCCUGAUAGGCGUGGACUCCUGGAAUGGAUUCACACCCAAAGAGCAUUUGAUUCAUGCUUCAGAUGUUGCCUUAGGAUGGGGCCGCAACCGAUCAGGUUGUUGGCGAGGUAACGGCUCACCAAGCCUAUAACCGGUACGGGCCGCGGGAGCGGUAGCCCGGAGAUGGACACUGAGACAAGGGUCCAGGCCCUACGGGGCGCAGCAGUCGCGAAAACUUCACAAUGCGCGAAAGCGUGAUGGGGCUAUCCCGAGUGCUAUCCGCUGAGGAUGGCUUUUCUCCAGUGUAAGGAGCUGGAGGAAUAAGGAGAGGGCAAGCCUGGUGUCAGCCGCCGAGGUAAUACCAGCUCUCCGAGUGGUAGGGAUGUUUAUUGGGCUUAAAGCGUCCGUAGCCGGCUCAGAAAGUCCUCCGUUAAAUCCAACGAUUUAAUCGCUGGACUG
RNAcentral lists this ribosomal RNA (561 nucleotides) under uncultured archaeon. RNAcentral describes it as "bacterial SSU rRNA". It matches the Rfam family "Archaeal small subunit ribosomal RNA", at positions 36 to 573 of the family's 1478-position model. The record is from RNAcentral.